AGAUUGAACGCUGGCGGCAUGCCUCACACAUGCAAGUCGAACGCGAAAGUAGGGGGCAACCCCUGCGAGUAGAGUGGCGAACGGGUGAGUAAUACAUCGGAACGUGUCCAGUAGCGGGGGAUAGCUUCUCGAAAGAGAAGCUAAUACCGCAUACGACCUACGGGUGAAAGAGGGGGAUCGCAAGACCUCUCACUAUUGGAGCGGCCGAUGUCGGAUUAGCUAGUUGGCGGGGUAAAAGCCACCAAGCGACGAUCCGUAGCUGGUCUGAGAGGACGGCCAGCCACACUGGAACUGAGACACGGUCCAGACUCCUACGGAGCAGCAGUGGGAAUUUGGACAAUGGCGCAAGCCUGAUCCAGCCAUGCCGCGU
Molecule: ribosomal RNA, 370 nt
Filed under: uncultured soil bacterium
Lineage: Bacteria
Description: bacterial SSU rRNA
Rfam family: Bacterial small subunit ribosomal RNA
Source: RNAcentral